UCCCCAGGCGGAGUGCUUAUUGCGUUAGCUGCGAUACAGAGAACUUAUAGCUCCCUACAUCUAGCACUCAUCGUUUACGGCGUGGACUACCAGGGUAUCUAAUCCUGUUUGCUCCCCACGCUUUCGAGCCUCAGUGUCAGUUACAGGCCAGAGAGCCGCUUUCGCCACCGGUGUUCCUCCAUAUAUCUACGCAUUUCACCGCUACACAUGGAAUUCCACUCUCCUCUCCUGCACUCAAGUCUACCAGUUUCCAAUGCAUACAAUGGUUGAGCCACUGCCUUUUACACCAGACUUAAUAAACCACCUGCGCUCGCUUUACGCCCAAUAAAUCCGGACAACGCUCGGGACCUACGUAUUACCGCGGCUGCUGGCACGUAGUUAGCCGUCCCUUUCUGGGUAGUUACCGUCACUUGAUGAGCUUUCCACUCUCACCAACGUUCUUCUCUACCAACAGAGUUUUACGAUCCGAAAACCUUCUUCACUCACGCGGCGUUGCUCGGUCAGACUUUCGUCCAUUGCCGAAGAUUCCCUACUGCUGCCUCCCGUAGGAGUUUGGGCCGUGUCUCAGU
RNAcentral lists this ribosomal RNA (569 nucleotides) under uncultured Lactococcus sp. RNAcentral describes it as "partial 16S ribosomal RNA". The record is from RNAcentral. Lineage: Bacteria; Bacillati; Bacillota; Bacilli; Lactobacillales; Streptococcaceae.